GAUGAACGCUGGCGGCGUGCCUAAUACAUGCAAGUCGAGCGAACAGACGAGGAGCUUGCUCCUCUGACGUUAGCGGCGGACGAGUGAGUAACACGUGGAUAACCUACCUCUAAGACUGGGAUAACUUCGGGAAACCGGAGCUAAUACCGGAUAAUAUAUUGAACCGCAUGGUUCAAUAGUUAAAGACGGUUUUGCUGUCACUUAUAGCUUGAUCCGCCCCGCAUUAGCUAGUUGGUAAGGUAACGGCUUACCAAGGCAACGAUUCGUAGCCGACCUGAGAGGGUGAUCGGCAACACUGGAACUGAGAAAGGGUACAGACUCCUACGGGAGGCAGCAGUAGGGAAUCUUCCGCAAGGGGCGAAAGCCGGACGGAGAAACGCCGCGUGAGUGAUGAAGGACUACGGAUCGGAAAACUCUGUUAGUAGGGAAGAACAAAUGUGUAAGUAACUAUGAACGUCUUGACGGUACCGAAUCAGAAAGCCACGGCUAACUACGUG
Molecule: ribosomal RNA, 497 nt
Filed under: uncultured bacterium
Lineage: Bacteria
Description: partial 16S ribosomal RNA
Rfam family: Bacterial small subunit ribosomal RNA
Source: RNAcentral